This 857-nucleotide long non-coding RNA is filed under the name Homo sapiens (human). Its description in RNAcentral is "HSALNT0064778". The record is from RNAcentral. Lineage: Eukaryota; Metazoa; Chordata; Mammalia; Primates; Hominidae.
GGUUUUAGUAUCCCAUUUGUCCAACACCCUCAGGCAUCACUCUUCUCUCCAUUUUGGUUCCCACAUUGACUGCCCCAUGCCCCAACCCUAGGGCAGGCAAAAGGGGUGCAGGUCACUAGAGGCUUUCAGCUUCUUUGCUUUUCAUUUCCCUGGGGAGAAAACGGGUCCUGAAAAUAAUCUCUCACUUCCCCCUUUAAGGAGAAGAGUAGGGUGGGUAAUAACAAUAGCUAAAAGGCUAGAGUUUAGGGAGGUGUAGAGCGUAUACCCGGUAUAACAGUAUAGUUUAGAGAGGAUGUGGUAUACUGUGCUGAGACACGCAGGGGCUCUUACUAUCUGCAUUUCACAGAUAAGGAGAUGAGGCAAACAGAGAAGUUAAGUGACUUGCCCAGUCAUAUGGCUGAUUAAGUGGUGAGCUGGGUUUGAAUCCAAGGGCUGUGACUCCAGGGCUUCACCAAUGGGACCUGCCCAGUCAUAUGGCUGAUUAAGUGAUCAUUCUUGAGCACCAACUAUGGGCUGGGCUAUGAUCAGUGCUGGGGAGCUACAGGUGAGUUUAAAAGGUCUCCAGUCUCCAAGAACUGGCAACCUAGAGGAUAGAGCCAACAGGAAAGGCUGCAGCCCCGUGAUGUGAGUGCUACUGGGGAAGCCUGCUGGGUACCCUGGGAGGCAUGGCAAGUGGGCAUCCUCAGAGAAAAAGGAAACACUCACUCCCCAAGCUCGAGAUGUCCCCUCUUCUUGCAACUGCUUGUUCAGCCAGAUUCCCACUACCGGCAGAGCUUCCGGAAGUGACUUACCUCCCCUGGCGCCUCCGGCUGCCCUGAAGUGUGAUUUGCACGGGGAUGCUGAAGGGCUGCAUGAGG